Culex quinquefasciatus (southern house mosquito) is the source of this 319-nucleotide long non-coding RNA. RefSeq lists it as uncharacterized. The transcript is spliced from 2 exons. NCBI's taxonomy places the organism in Eukaryota, Metazoa, Arthropoda, Insecta, Diptera, Culicidae. The record is from RefSeq and is a predicted model, not a curated record.
UCUCACAAAAGAAACGUCAAAGAUUAAUGAAAGGAUUAUGCGUCUGUUCUAUGACAUGUAACCUGUGUUUCCACAGUUCCAAUUAAAAAAUAUCCGGUUUUAAAGUUCGCGUGUGCAAUUUCAAAACCUAAUUAAAAUUUACAAAUCAAACAGUGAUAAACAGUGACGUACCACAGAUUAAAAUCACUUAAAGUUAAUAGUACGGACUGAGGAAGGACAGCACUACAAACGGGCCUCACGUCGCAAUGAAAGCAUUCAUCAACCAAGAAAUGCAUUUGCUAGUAGCAACACAAGUAAUGAUCAAAAAGCCAGCGAAAAA